UGGUAGGCUAUUUUGUGGAUUCAGUUGUGU
This 30-nucleotide non-coding RNA is filed under the name Mus musculus (house mouse). The record is from RNAcentral. Lineage: Eukaryota; Metazoa; Chordata; Mammalia; Rodentia; Muridae.